Molecule: signal recognition particle RNA, 308 nt
Filed under: Nitrososphaerota archaeon
Lineage: Archaea; Thermoproteati; Nitrososphaerota
Description: Thaumarchaeota archaeon (marine metagenome) signal recognition particle sRNA
Rfam family: Archaeal signal recognition particle RNA
Source: RNAcentral
GCAACAGGUAGGGUCGGAGGGAUAGCCGUCCUCCUCGCUGAAACCGGCUAUAUGCAGCGCCAGUAACCAGUGGUUAAAGUAUAAUUUUCAGGUACCUGCCAUCUUGCUUGAAUGAAAUCACGCCGUGAUUGGUGGUCACAAGAGAUAGCUAUUUCGAAGGAAAUAGUGAUUCUUCAACUACUGAAACCGGACAGGUCCGGGAGGGAGCAUCCGUAUAGUGGGGUGGUUGCGCUUUCACGUCUACGUGAAUGACUUUGUAGGAUUGGAAAAGGACCUGGGAAUCAUAUGAAUCCCAUUGGUGCUGUUGC